This is a non-coding RNA of Peromyscus maniculatus bairdii (prairie deer mouse), 6110 nucleotides long. The record is from RefSeq and is a predicted model, not a curated record. Lineage: Eukaryota; Metazoa; Chordata; Mammalia; Rodentia; Cricetidae.
GGUACCUAAACUACACAGAAAACCCUGUCUCAAAAAACCAAAAAAAAAAAAAAAAAAGUCAUAAUGAUGUUUAACAUGUAUGCUGGUUUAAAAAAAAUGUAAGUUGGAAAAGUAAUUAAAAAAGACACCCAAUGUCAGUCACUCUCCUCCAUAUGCUUCUACAUGGUCUAGCACUGUCUCUGUCUCUCUCAGGGUCUGUCUGUCUCUCUGGCUCUGGCUCACUCUCUCUCAACAACAUUCCCCUUAAUCACAGAAUAGAAUGUAUGCCAUGUGAUCCAUUCUUUAUAUAGCAGCUCAGAAGUGUUGAGUGAUUAUCACAGAGAAUCAUCAUUUUUGGGAGCUCUGUUAUUGUUUUUUUUUUCUUUUUUCACAAACAUGUUUGCAAGAAAUGUGAAUAUUCUCAUUUUUAAACUUGUUUUGACAGCCAAUAAUAAACAUGUUUGCAUUGAAAGUUAAUUUAUUAAAGCUAGAUGAGAUGUAAAUCUUUUUAGAGAAUCCUGGAAACAGGCAAGGACUGAGCUUAUAGAAAGAGGCUUUUGAAGUGUCAGGUCAUUAAUGCCUUUCAUCAGGGAGUGAAAGGGAGGGGCAGAUUCAAGGACACAUGGGUACAACUGCCCAGCAAGGACAAAAGUCCUUGAGGAUGCUCUCCAAAGCAGAAAGGGCUCAUGAAGCCCAUGGCCAAACCUCAGGGUGCUGAUGAACUCCUUAUCUUAGAGACUGCUCAAAAAAUAUUUGACCAGUUUUCAGAGUGAGUCACAAAGGAAAAUAGGACGUGGAAUUUGGACAGCAGCAUGGGGCAGCCUUUCGGAACUGAUAAAAAGCCUGCAGUAUAGGGCCACUGAUAGGAAAUCCCGGUAUUUCAGUCUGUCCUUUCCCGGAAUUUGCAUGUUGCUUGAUAAGGGCCAGUCACAAACAGAAAGGGAGUUUCUCACCAGAUGCCUGCUGCUAUGCAUUGAGUGGGUUAUUCUCUGAUCCAAAACUACGACUUAAGCAAGUCUUAGCUACCUACUCAAGCUCCCAGCAUUCUACUGCUGACCUCUCAGCAGGAUGUGGUCACAUCUUGUCCUAGAGCUGUUUUGUCACUCAGAAGUGGACACGAAUGCAUUAAUGAAAGCAGAUCCAAGUCACAUUCCUAAUAGUUCUCUCUCUCUCUUUUGAAUUCCCCUUUCUUCUGUAGAUAUUUCUAGAUUAUUGAUGCUUAAUUUUCUUACCUCUCUCCUCCACACCUUUGGCCUUCUCUUUCACAAUCCUUUUCUGAAGAUUCCUUCCACUCAUUCUUCCCGGUUUUUUAUUGUAGAUAUGUGAAUGGUCUUUAUUUCCAAGAAUUUCUGGUGGCUCACUUAUGACUUCCUUUAUUGAAAUUGCUCUUGUAUUAUUAAUGUAAGAGCUUCUUGAGUCUUCACAUUACUCAAAGGAGUUUUUGUUCUGUUUUGUUUUCCUGCCUCCUGCCUUACCUUAGCAUCUCCUAUGAUGCUCUCCUCACUCUGUUUGUAGUAUUUUGUGUCCAAGGCAUUCUUGGGGCUGGAGAGAUGGCUUAGCAACUUAGAGCAUUGGGUGGUCUUCCAGAGGACCUACACUCAAUUCCCGGCACCCACAUGGCAGCGCCUAAUUUCAAUUCCAUGGCAUCUGGUGCCCUCUUCUGACCUAUGGGGAUACCAGGUAUCUACAUGGUGAACAAACACACACAUAGGCAAACACCCAGACACAUAAAGUAAAAAUAAGUAAGUCUUUAGAAAUAAAGACAUUUCUGGUGAGUGGGAGGCAGGAUUUCACUUAGUACCCCACUUUUCAGUACGAUACUACCUGCCUCGGCUUAUUGGAAUAAUGAAUCCAGAGCCUACAACCAGAGAUUUCUCAAGUUUCCUGCUCCCAAAGUUUUCUUGGCAUUUCUCAUUCUCAUGGGGAAGAAGCUACCAGUCGGCCCCUCAUGCUCCCUGGAUCUAUGUUCCUGGGGCUAGCUAGCUCUGUACUGCCAAGUACAAGAAGUUUCUCAGUUCAAACUCAAGCCCCUUUGAUAUAAAACAAAUAGUGUCAUCAUCACAGAUGACCUUUUCUCCAUAUCAUUUUUUUAGUCCCUCCAGUUUUCAUUUUUUGAAAAAGAAUUAAUGCAUUUUAUAAUUAUAUAUUUCAUAUAUUAUAUGUAUAUAUAACAUAAUAAUUAUGAAAACCAUUUUCAAAGUACUAGAUAUGUUGAAGCAGUCCAAGAAGGUACAUUCACCUUAAUGAGUUCCACUUGAGUUUGUUCUAACGAAAUCAGUCCUCAAUAAAGUACUUGUCUGCAUAACAUGAAGAGAUAUGUGUUUCUGGAAGACAGUAAGAAAUGAAAACUCAGAAUAGUAGUAGUCCAAACCUAAAAUCCGCAGUACAAGGGAAAGAAAUACUUAGUGACUAAAGUAUUGGAUGUGAUGAACUUCCGGUCUCUGUUGUUAUGUUAGACGGGGUAUGUUUGUAUGUCCUAGGAAUUAUUUACUGGGGGACCUAUAGUGUCUUAUUCAAGGGAUCCUAUUCACCCCAGAUGAGACAAUGUGAGGUCAAAAAUAGCAUUCAUCUUUCCAAUGAGUUUUAUUGGGAUUGCUUACAGGAGUACCAUGAGGGAAGGCUAACUUGUAAGAGCUAGGAUGAUUUGGGCAGCUGCAUCACAAAAGUGGCCCCCGGUUACCUGUAAGAUUUCUCUCCAAAGCAGCAUCAUUACAAUUGCUUGUGCAACUUUCAGGUAGCUCCUCCUGUGAAGAUUCACCUGUUCCUGGAGAGCCGUUGACUGUUUAUAGGGGAGCAAGAAAGGGUCUCCUAAGGCUUGUGAGAUCAUGAGCCCCAUAACAUUGUGAAGUUGAAUUUUAUCAUCCUGUUAUCCUCAUGGCAUCACUUCCCCUAAUAGACAAGUAGCUGAUGAGAAACUACUAUGACAAAGGAUGAUGGCUUCCUCUGUUGAUGCUGACAUUUAUGACGUGAUUCCAGAAGCCCUGGAGAUAAGCUUCUCCUCACCUCCAUUGGAAAAGCCUGCUACAGUGGGAUCUGCUAAUAUUCCCUAAUCUCUUCUGUACCCUUUCUUCCUUUCUUACGUCUCUGAUCCAGUCUUCCACUGUAGACUAAAACCUAUGUAUUCUAGUACAGUGGUUCUUAACCUAUGGGUUGUGACCCCUGUGUGUGUGUGGGGGGGGGGGUCAGAUGACCCUUUCACAGGGGUCACCUAACAACAUCAGAAAACACAGAUAUUUAUAUUACAGUUCAUAACAGUAGCAAAAUUAUAGUUAUGAAGUAGCAAUGAAAAUAAGUUUAUGAUUGGGGAUCAACAAAACAUGAAGAACUGUAUUAAAGAGUCAUAGCAUUAGGGAGGUUGAGAAUCAUUAGUCUAGUGCAUGCAAUUUUUGAAAUAACCAAAACAUACUCUGAUUGCCCAAAUAAAGUGUAAUAAGCUUGGCGGCUUCUAGAAGAGAUUUUUUUUUCAUUUUUAGAUUUAAGUUUUUUUUCUGUGUUUGUAUUUAGUGCUGGGGAUUGUUCCAUCCAAGACUUCCCAUACUGUGCCACUGAAGAUCUAAGUCCUACGUUUACUUUUCAUUUUGAGACAAGGUCUGCUCAGUUGCCUCGUCAGAACUUACGCUCUCUAACCUCAUACCUCUGUCUUCUCGAACUGGCUCCAAAACCACUUUUUCUCACAGUUCCGGGUCUUGAGUUCCGGCAUUAAGGUGAUAGCCCUCUCAGGUACGAACUAGGGCUCAAAGCCAGAAAGAGUUCUCAGUUAAUGGAUACUGUUUCUUCUGUGUGCUUACAUAGGCUUUCUUUCCUGGGUAUAGGUACCGAUAGACUCUGUCUCCCCACCACCUCUUCGGUCUCCUCUACCUACUCUUAUUAUAGCCACCAGUCCUAUCAGAUUAGGAACCCACAUAAGGUCUGGUGCCUAUUGUCUCACUCUGGAGAGGGACAUCCUGCUGUCUGUGCUGUUGGUGUUUGACUAGCCUUCGAUCAGCGUGACCUCUUCAACCUCCACCCCUACUGUUGGGUUGCUUACAGCCAUGGGCUGUAUCCAGCUCAAAGUGAACCCAUGAGUAAUGCUGGACAAACUCAAAGCACAGGAAUCAGAUAAUCCGUGUAGAGUGAGGUACCGAGAAAAUUUAGGGCAGCCAGGAGCCAACUCUGCAUCAAACUCCUUGACCCCCAGGCUUUUCAUGUCCCUGGUGGUCAAAGCCACACAUAUGUACCAGUUGAUGUCAGCCCAAGUCCCUUCCAGAAAUAAACAGUUUGCAAAUGAGUAACAAUUUGCCACAAAGGAUUUGACUCUGCAGUCUGGCGUCUGGGACAUUGCACUGUGUAGCUAUGCAGCCCAGAGGACAAAUUCUUCAUAAAGAAGCAGAAAUCGGUGUAGAAAAGCUGCCGGGGGUCUUUAGGGAAUAAUAUUAGUCUCCCCAUGCAGUCUUUGCUCAUAAAAUCUCUCUGCAGUAAAGGAGGCCUCGUGGUGAUAAGCAUGACUUUAAUAGAUUAAACAGGGAACCGUGACCCUUGAAUUUAGCUAGAAAAUAAUAAUAAAUUUUGGACUCUAAUAUGAUAAAGAAGAUUUGAUGUGCCUUUUCAGAAUAUAGAAAUAGAGAGGUAAUCACCAGACUAAUUAUCUUCACCAUUAUUUUGUCUGCUGUGUGUGUGUGCAUCAUCAGAAUGGGAAAAGAUGGAGGGGUGGGGUAGGUGACAUGGUUUUUAGCCACACUUUUCUUUCAGGAGCAUACUGAACUCAAAUGGUUUGCUCUUUUCUGAUUUAAAAAUAAUGCUAGACCUUUGAUCAACAGCUUUUCACAGGAUGCUAAACAUUUGGGGUGAAAUGAGACAUUCUUGCAUAUACUUAACACAGUUGCUCUUUUAGAGGGCCUGCUAGGAUUUAUUUUUGAUGCCUGAAUUGCAUGCUACUUUCCCAAUUAAAAGCUCAUGGAAUUGCCACAUUAACACUCCCUUCUCUUCCUUCUGGAGGGCUUGCUCUCCUGUUCUUCUGUCUCCUGGUAAAUUCCUCCUUCGCAGGACGUGCCGGGGUUAAGACUCAGCCAAUAGAGUUGCCCCAGAAGCCCUGGCCAGUGCUGUAGGGGUGACAGUGGUGCAGAGGGAGUUUUGAGUGUCAGGCACACAAGCAAUGUGUUAGAACCCUUACUAUACCUGCAGCACACUCCCCUACCUCAGUUCUCACUCAUAGCCUGUGCUAACUCAGCUCCCAAGCAAAUUCGGCCUCAAAACAACCCAGCUUUUUCUAGCCAGCAGAGGAUGAGAGGAGGUUUACCUCAGCCAGGCAUGCUGUCUGUUUGCUUCUAUUGACAGUUCAAAGGUUUAAGCAGUUUUAAUAUAAAAUGCCAUAGUCUUUUAAAAGUCUACUUCUGUGCUUUUAUUUUUCCAUUUACUGCUAUUAGUAUAUCAUCUCUAUUUUUAAAGCCUAUGAAUAACUUACAUGUAAUAACUUUAUACUUAAGGAACAGGGAAAUACAUUAACAUUAUAGAGAAAAACAUUUAAGAGUCAGCCCAUUAGUCUAGGAUCUACUAAAUAAACUUGUAUAUAAAAUGGAAUUAUAAUUAUCAUCAUUAAACAUUCUUUUUCUGGAACGGAUGAAUCUACUGACGAUUGGUUGCUACUUUUCAAUUUAAGUGAGUUCUGUGUUAGUAUCUUUUCUUUAUCCUUGAAGCUGAAAUAUUAAAAAAAUACAAAAGCUCUUGGGUCAGAAGGCCACUCUCACUGCAGACAGAAAUUUUAGCUAAUGAAAUGGUUUCUUGUGACAUAAAAGAAUUGUAAUUAUGCUUUUUGUUUUGCAAAAAGAACAAAUUUCUUCAAAAGUUCUUGUCACAAUAUUAAUUAUAUACUUUUAUAGCCUUAAGAUAUAUCAGAGAAGUUAUUAUUCAUAGUUUCCUAAAUAGUGGAUUAUCAUAAAGAUUCCAGUAUAGGCAGGUAUUCUUUUCUAUAGUGCUACAAUGAUGACAAAAAUCUUGUAUACUUAGAAAUGUUUCAGACCAUGAACACAUGCCUAAGAAGAAUUACCUUCAUUGACAACUGAGUUAAUUGUAAUAGUUCUGUUACUCAAAAGCCUAUUCGUUGGAUGUAAGAUCAUUGCCAAUUAAAAAUGGACUCAUAUUAACUCUUCCAUAGG